AUGGGAAUGUUUGUGGUGCAUGGUUUAAUCUGAUUUGAAUCGCGCUGUCUCUUUAGUGAUGUCCGUGUUGUCGAGGAUUUCAGGUGGUCCAGGAGAUGGCGAUGUAAGCUUUGAAGGAGAGAGAAGAGAGGCUGUACGGAUGACUUAAGUGACAGCGUCUCAAACAAACAUUUCCCUGCUGUUCUACAUCUCUUCUGACGCGCAGCAGUUGCCGUUUUCUUCUCGUGAAUGUAGGCUUUGGGCUCACUGGAUACAAAGAGACUGAUCUGGAUGAGGACAACAUAUUAUCAUUGUUUAAUUAAUAACCAACAUCACCAGUAUCUCAAGGAUGCAAAGUUGAAUUGCACGCGACAAACAGAAACAGAGAUGUUGAAGGUACUGAGUAGCCUAUUGCGCCCAGGCGGUGCUCUUCUGUAAGAGGAGGGUUUAAUCAGGGUCGUUAUCCGCCCCUUUAAUGCAAGUGUCCAUGGAGGACGAAUCUAUCAGGACAUUACCAUCGGAAGUCCUUCACGGACACCUCGCAGUGGCUUUUGUAAAAAAUGUGCGGCGUUUGGGUCGCCAGUAACACGGUUAUUUACAAUGAUGGGACCGCGCAGCCAGUCUCAGGCAGAACCAAGCAUGACUCCACCACGAUGCUCAUCCACUGCUGCUGACAGGUUGCCUAUGGAGACUGUUCAGAGGAAUAACAGCAGUAAUAGUGGUGUUAUUCUGGACAUUUCCACCCUGAAAAUGGCCGAUGUGGACUCUGAGGUCCCUCCUCUACCUCCACGAUACCGCUUUCGAGAUCUGCUGCUCGGAGAUCAAUCUUUUCAGAAUGAUGACAGGGUGCAGGUUGAAUUUUAUGUAAAUGAAAACACAUUCAAGGAGAGGUUGAAGCUCUUCUUCAUCAAAAACCAAAGGUCAAGUCUCAGAAUACGCCUCUUCAACCUCUCCUUGAAGUUGUUAACAUGCCUCCUCUAUAUAAUCAGAGUCUCACUAGAUGAUCCAACUAACCAGGUCACAUGUGCACGGAAACACUGCACAAACAUCACAGAUGCCCUUUGCAACAAAACCUGUGGCAACUACACAACAAACCUGACUGCAGAUCCCACACAAAUAAACUGGGAGCUAAUAUUUUGGGUGAAUAGGAGAGUUCCUGUAUGGGCAAUACAGGUGACAGUGGCCUUAAUUAGCUUCUUGCAAGCUAUGCUCCUGGUGUAUCUCAGCUACAAGGGGAACAUUUGGGAGCAGAUUUUCCAAAUCUCCUUCAUCAUUGAGAUGAUCAAUACAGUUCCGUUCAUAAUUACAAUCUUUUGGCCUCCGCUGAGGAACAUAUUUGUUCCUGUGUUUCUUAAUUGUUGGCUUGCCAAAUCAGCACUGGAGAACAUGAUUAAUGAUCUCCAUCGUGCCAUUCAGCGCACACACUCUGCCAUGUUCAACCAGGUCCUCAUUCUGAUCUGUACACUGCUCUGUCUGGUCUUUACUGGGGCUUGUGGGAUUCAGCACCUCGAGCGGGCAGGGAAGAGUCUCUCCCUCUUUGACGCUUUAUAUUUCUGCAUCGUCACCUUCUCGACUGUUGGUUAUGGAGAUGUCACACCCAGAAUCUGGCCCUCUCAGCUACUGGUGGUCAUCAUGAUCUGUGUGGCUCUGGUGGUGCUGCCAUUACAGUUUGAGGAGUUGGCGUAUCUUUGGAUGGAGAGGCAGAAGUCAGGUGGAAACUACAGCAGACAUCGUGCUCAGACAGAGAAGCAUGUGGUUCUCUGCGUCACUUCACUCAAAAUAGACCUGCUCAUGGAUUUCCUCAACGAGUUCUACGCCCACCCGAGACUACAGGAUUAUUAUGUGGUGAUACUCUGUCCCACUGAGAUGGACAUCCAGGUUCGGCGUAUACUGCAGAUCCCGCUGUGGUCUCAGCGGGUUAUCUACCUCCAAGGCUCUGCACUUAAGGACCAAGACCUGAUGAGGGCCAAGAUGGACGAUGCAGAGGCGUGCUUCAUCCUCAGCAGCAGAAAUGAAGUGGACCGCACCGCAGCUGAUCAUCAAACCAUUCUGCGAGCAUGGGCUGUGAAGGACUUUGCCCCAAACUGUCCUCUAUAUGUCCAGAUUCUCAAACCUGAGAACAAAUUCCAUGUCAAAUUUGCAGAUCAUGUGGUGUGUGAGGAGGAGUUCAAGUAUGCCAUGCUGGCCCUCAACUGUGUGUGUCCAGCCACCUCUACACUGGUCACACUCCUGGUGCACACGUCUCGUGGACAGGAGGGACAGAUGUCUCCAGAACAGUGGCAGAGGACGUAUGGCCGCUGCUCGGGGAACGAAGUUUACCACAUUCGUUUGAUGGACAGCAAGUUCUUUGGCGAAUAUGACGGAAAGAGUUUUACUUAUGCGUCCUUCCAUGCACAUAAAAAGUAUGGUGUCUGCCUAAUCGGCACAAAGAGAGAAGACAAUAAGAGCAUACUUCUGAACCCUGGUCCUCGCCACAUCAUGUCUGCCACAGACACCUGCUACUACAUCAACAUCACUAAAGAGGAGAACUCUGCCUUCAUCUUCAAACAGGAGGAGAAGCACAGCAAAGGGCAAUCAGCCCCCGGCGUGUAUGACGCCCCUUCUCGUCUCCCGGUGCAGAGCAUCAUCGCAAGCAUGGUUGAUCAGUCUACUUCAUAUGGAACUGUGGCCAUUGACCUGCAGAACCCAGAUCCCCCGGCUGACAGCAGUAAACUGGCCCUGCCCACAGAGAACGGAGCUGGGAGUCGUAGACCCAGCAUUGCCCCUGUGCUAGAGAUCGCCGAUUCCUCUGCAAUCCUGCCUUGUGAUCUUCUCAGUGACCCCUCAGAAGAUGAGACCAACCAAUCAGAUGAUGAAGGAUCACCAGCUUUAGAGUGGAUUAGAGGCUAUCCUCCAAACUCCCCUUACAUUGGAAGCUCCCCAACUCUUUGUCACCUUUUGCAACAGAAGGCGCCAUUUUGUUGCCUACGACUUGACAAGGGUUGUCGGCACAAUAGCUUUGAAGACGCCAAGGCAUAUGGUUUCAAAAACAAGUUGAUUAUUGUUUCUGCUGAAACAGCAGGAAAUGGCCUGUACAACUUCAUAGUGCCAUUGCGUGCCUAUUACCGACCCCGGAAGGAGCUGAAUCCCAUUGUGCUGCUGUUGGAUAAUCCGCCUGAUAAUCAUUUUCUUGAAGCCAUCUGCUGUUUCCCUAUGGUGUACUACAUGGCUGGUACCAUUGACAAUUUGGAUAACCUGCUGCAGUGUGGCAUCAUCUACGCUGAUAACCUGGUAGUGGUAGAUAAGGAGAGCACUAUGAGUGCAGAGGAAGACUACAUGGCAGAUGCUAAAACCAUAGUCAACGUGCAGACCAUGUUCAGGUUGUUUCCUAGUCUCAGCAUAAUCACUGAGCUAACCCAUCCUUCUAAUAUGAGAUUCAUGCAGUUUCGUGCCAAAGACUGCUACUCCCUGGCUCUCUCAAAACUCGAAAAGAUAGAGAGAGAUAAGGGCUCUAAUCUUGCAUUCAUGUUCCGCCUCCCAUUCGCUGCAGGCAGAGUGUUCAGUAUUAGCAUGCUGGAUACUCUUCUUUACCAGUCUUUUGUGAAGGACUAUAUGAUUCUCAUUGCAAGACUCCUGCUGGGUCUAGACACCACCCCGGGCUCUGGCUACCUCUGUGCUAUGAAGGUAACGGAAGAGGACCUAUGGAUCCGGACGUACGGAAGACUGUUCCAGAAGCUGUGUUCAUCCAGUGCAGAAAUUCCCAUUGGGAUAUACCGCACUGAAUCUCACAUGUUCUCUUCCUCAGAGUUUAAGGAGGUUUGCAAACAGUCCAGGUGUCUGUGGAGGACUGUGAGGACCCGCGGGACCGCGGGGAAUCCUGGAAAGAGAAAACCGCCCACAGAAACUCCACAGGGAGCGACCAAUCAGAGCACCCACUCCUGCGGAAGAAGAGCAUGCAGUGGGCGAGACGGCUGAGCAGAAAAAACACCAAACCGCCCAGUCGAGUUGAACGCAUCAAUCAACAGCGCCUAAAUCUGUACCGGCGCUCAGAGAGACAGGAGCUGUCAGAGCUGGUGAAGAACCGCAUGAAGCACUUAGGGCUGCCCACUGUGGGAUACGAGGACGUAGCUAAUUUAACUGCAAGUGAUGUGAUGAACCGAGUAAAUCUAGGAUAUUUGCAAGAGGGUACUUACAUGACAGAGGGUACUGCAGGUACUCACUGGCAUCUGAGCAUUGAUAUAAGACAUGAUGAGUGAGGGCUUUUGAUUCCAGGAUGUUUGGACAGAGUGGAGUAGAAAGCAUUCAGUCUUUGUCGGAAGGGUCCAUCUAGCACAGGUAUUUAGGCAUACACUUAUAAGUCUGCUUGUACUGAUUUACAGCAUUGUUUCUCAGCUUUUUAUUCUUCUUAAUGGGGUGAUACUGGGAGAAGUAUUUGGGUUUCCCAUUACUGUAAUUGGUUAAUUAGCAUUUGGCUAUUGACUCCUCCCAAUCCCACACUACUAAUGUUUUUUGCUUCACUCUGAUUGGUCGAGCCUUGGCUUGGUGGGCCUGACAGAUCCUCUGAGCAUGCUUAUAUCUGUGUGUGUCGGUCUUACUGUUUGCUGACUUGGAGCUGUAUGUUGGCAUGGCAAUGAUCAACGUUCAGUGGGUCAACUGUGAUUAUGAUGCAGUAGACUGAUGGAUGGAUUGAGAGACUGAAUGCGUGGGUGGAUGCGGACCCUGUCUGCAUGCGUCCGCGCAUGGGGAGCGCUUGCGGUUGCAUGGGCGUUCCGUAAAUGCAGCCAUGCCCUGUCAGUAACGGUUAGCCCUUCUCUCUCUUUUACCUGGCCUGGCAUUAAGUGGCUCAAACAGGUGGGUUUGAAGAAGCAGAGGCACUUUGUCCCAGUCUUGAGUCCCUUAUUCACAGACCUGCAAAGGUUCACACUUCUCAGUCAUUUGCAAGCAGGUAAAAUACAACAAAGUCUCAGAAACCCAGCCAACAAAAUCCUAACACAGUGGGUACACAACAACUGCCUCCCAUGUUUUAUUAUUCAAUAUAUUUUGCUCUUUUUGGCUAUUCUGACUCAGUCAACAGCAUAGUUUUAUUAUCUGCAGUAGGAACAGAGAUAAAUGUUACUGAUAAUUUCUCAGAACUUUGUUACACAAAUGUUUUGGAAUAUUAAGAAUUGAUACAGGUUAAAUACAAUAGUGACUGUGUUUUGUUUCUCUUGCAGAUGAAAUGAAUGAUAAUCAGAACACGUUAUCAUAUGUGCUGAUAAAUCCUCCUCCGGACACCAUUCUAGAACUCAAUGACAUUGUCUACAUAAUCCGUUCUGAUCCGCUGGCACACGUCCCUGAGAAUCUCCCAGGGGCUCCGGCCGGAGUGCAGCUACAUCAAGACUAUGGACCUGAGACGAGGGAUGAGACCCAUCUGUAGGAACUAGAAGUUCUCGUUAACCAUCCUUCCCUCCCUCCUCCGUCUUGAGCUGCUACAGGCUGCAUGAAGAGUGACAGACACGACCCAUGUGCCAACACAUUCACAACCCAAGCUGCCCAACCAAGCCAAAUAGGCGUAACUGUAUAACUGAAACACUUUACAGAUUGCUCUUUUCUAUGACACAGACAUACAGAAUCUCGUGGCACAUUUCAAACUUCUCGGAAUGUGGCUGGUUAUUACAUUUUUGUAUUUGAGACUUGGCUCAGUGCAAGUGUGAGGUGUUGAAUCAGUCUGGACCAAACAAGCUGUCCAAGCACUUUGGAUUUAUAGGGCAGUAUAUAUCAGAAACAUUACGUGAAGCAGUAUUCAAGAGGGCAGCUAAAGGCCGAAGGAAAAAAAAACAA
This is an RNA transcript of Cyprinus carpio (common carp), 5778 nucleotides long. It is a transcript of the gene named potassium channel subfamily T member 1-like, with no coding region annotated. NCBI's taxonomy places the organism in Eukaryota, Metazoa, Chordata, Actinopteri, Cypriniformes, Cyprinidae. The transcript has 34 exons. The record is from RefSeq and is a predicted model, not a curated record.